GACGAACGCUGGCGGCGUGCCUAAUACAUGCAAGUUGAGCGCUGAAGGUUGGUACUUGUACCGACUGGAUGAGCAGCGAACGGGUGAGUAACGCGUGGGGAAUCUGCCUUUGAGCGGGGGACAACAUUUGGAAACGAAUGCUAAUACCGCAUAAAAACUUUAAACACAAGUUUUAAGUUUGAAAGAUGCAAUUGCAUCACUCAAAGAUGAUCCCGCGUUGUAUUAGCUAGUUGGUGAGGUAAAGGCUCACCAAGGCGAUGAUACAUAGCCGACCUGAGAGGGUGAUCGGCCACAUUGGGACUGAGACACGGCCCAAACUCCUACGGGAGGCAGCAGGAGGGAAUCUUCGGCAAUGGACGAAAGGCUGACCGAGCAACGCCGCGCGAGUGAAGAAGGGUUUCGGAUCGGAAAACUCUGUUGGUAGAGAAGAACGUUGGUGGGAGUGGAAAGCUCAUCAAGUGACGGUAACUACCCAGAAAGGGACGGCUAACUACGUG
This 497-nucleotide ribosomal RNA is filed under the name uncultured bacterium. RNAcentral's name for it is "partial 16S ribosomal RNA". It matches the Rfam family "Bacterial small subunit ribosomal RNA", at positions 28 to 507 of the family's 1533-position model. The record is from RNAcentral.